This 497-nucleotide ribosomal RNA is filed under the name uncultured bacterium. RNAcentral describes it as "partial 16S ribosomal RNA". It matches the Rfam family "Bacterial small subunit ribosomal RNA", at positions 28 to 507 of the family's 1533-position model. The record is from RNAcentral.
GAUGAACGCUGGCGGCGUGCCUAAUACAUGCAAGUCGAGCGAACAGACGAGGAUCUUGCUCCUCUGACGUUAGCGGCGGACGGGUGAGUAACACGUGUAUAACCUACCUAUAAUACUGGUAUAACUUCGGGAAACCGGAGCUAAUACCGUAUAACAUGUUGAACCGCAUGGUUCAACAGUGAAAUACGGUCUUGCUGUCACUUCUAGAUGGAUCCGCGCCGCAUUAGCUAGUUGGUAAGGUAACGGCUUAUCAAGGCAACGAUGCGUAGCCGACCGGAGAGGGGGAUCGGCCACACUGGAACUGAGCCACGGUCCAGAGUCCUACGGGAGGGAGCAGUAGGCAAUCUGCCGCAAUGGGCGAAAGCCUGACGGAGCAACGCCGCGUGAGUGAAGAAGGUCCUGGGAUCGUAAAACUGUGUUAUUAGGGAAGAACAAAUGUGUAAGUAACUAUGGACGUAUUGACGGUACCUAAUAAGAAAGCAACGGCUAACUACGUG